CCUGACUGGAUUCCUUAUCCCUUUGUAUCACUGCUGUUCCCAUCCUACCUCUCAUUGUUUCCCUCACAGAUUCAAUAAAUACAAUAUGUUUGGUGCCACUGCUGAUCUGCUGAGCCAGUCAGUGGCCAGCCCACUGACUCAGACUUGGUCUCAGCUUCAAAAGAAAAAUGAUGAUGUCUGUCUUUCUAGGUUUGAACCCCUCUGGUGAGCAGCAUCACAAAUGUGAUACAGACCUUCAGUAAUUACUGAAGCAGCAGUUUGUCACAAGCUGCCUGCAGCACUGAUGGACAAUCUGCUGCACAAUUGCAGUUCCAGAAAUGACACAAAACACUCAAGUCCAUGGAUGGUGAGGGAAUCAGCACACCAAAGGAUGCUUUUGUGGGGGGUACCACAAGCCCAGCUGCCUGCAAAAUUAGAAAUCUAG
RNAcentral lists this long non-coding RNA (424 nucleotides) under Zonotrichia albicollis (white-throated sparrow). Its description in RNAcentral is "lncRNA (ENSZALG00000008404.1)". Lineage: Eukaryota; Metazoa; Chordata; Aves; Passeriformes; Passerellidae. The record is from RNAcentral.